UAGAGACACAUUUGUCACAUAUUAUACAUAUCGUUAAAACUAUUAACCAGUGUCAAGUACUGAGAGCUCAAUUCACAGAAAUAAGAAAUGAGAUGAAGUGUGGAGUGUCUCUUAGCCUACCUGUAAAAACAAGAUGGGGUUCACAUGUAAAAUGUCUUCAAGAUCUGACUAAAUGCAAGUCCGUCCUACAACGUCUAGCAAUAUCUCCAGAUAAAACAAUUCAAGAUAGAAUACGCAGCGCAAAAGCAAAUUUACUUGAUGAAGGAUUCUGGAUAAAUUCUAGCGCUCUUGUUGAAUUGCUUAAGCCAAUUACUGAAGCAAUAACACGUCUUGAAGGAGAUUCUUCGUCAAUUCAUUUGGUUUGUGAAACUUUCGCGAAAAUCGGUAGUAACAUAUCUACUCAUUUAGAAUGCGUGAAACUAACGGAUUGCGAAAAAACAGAAGCGAUGGAUAAAUUUAUAUCAAGGAAGGAAUACGCCCUUCAACCGAUCCAUUUUGCCGCAGACUUACUAAACCCUCGGUCUGUUGGUGCAAAUUUAUCAUCAGCCGAAAGGAUUGAAGCGAUGAAAUACAUUACUACUAUGUCAACCACGACCACGAUAGAGAUUGGUGAUGAAGGAGUGUCAAAGAUUACUGAGGAUUUAGGAAACUAUUUAGCUAAAACAGACUUUUUUGGCGAAACAUUUUUAUGGAACAUACUCGAUAAUGUCUCUUUGGUUACAUGGUGGAAAGGAUUUUGUGGACAUUCAUGCCUCUCCAAAGUUGCAGUCAGGAUAUUGACAAUGCCGUGCACUUCUGCGGCAACAGAGAGAAGCUUUAGCUCCCAGAGCAGCAUUCAUACGAAGAGAAGAAAUCGCCUAACAACUCAAAGGGCAGCAAAUUUAAAUUAUAUACAAUAUAAUUCAAAAUUGCUGAAACGUUCACGACAACAUCACAUACAAAGUCAAUAUCCUAUAGAAGAGACUGUACAGAACAACGUUUCGAUAGAAGGUAGAAACUUACAGAAGGAGAUAGAAGUAAUUGAAAACCAUAUUUCCGAAGAGGAAGAAUUAGACGAGGUAAUUUUAAAUUUAGGCAUUUUUUAGAUAUGUGAUAUGUGCAUGUGAUAUAUGCAGUUUGCUUCUUUUCCGAUUUUCCAAUGCAUUCCACCGUUUUCGAAUAAAAAAUUAUAAAUCUUAUGUUUUCAGACAAUAUCAUCAUGGCAUUCAAAUACAACAGGAAAUGGAAAUUCCGACGAUGAUUUUAAUUUUGCUGACUUUGCAAUGACCGAUGAUGAAAUUGAUCAAAGAAUGGAAACUAGGGAACAGAGACCAGCACGCAUUUUGAGACAAAGCAAAGUGAACAUUUUAGAAAACGUCUUAAUGAAAUCGGGUAAAGGCACAGAACAACCCCAAAAAAAAACGGAAGUCGAGAAGGAUACUUCAGAUGCCGAAAACAAGGAUGCAGUUCUGGAUUUGCCGGAGAUAAAAAAAAUUACACAAGGCUCAUUGGAAGAGCAAACAAUUGAAACUUCGACGUUUUAUAACAAGAAGGUCUCCAGUUGUCUGCGAAAAAGGAAGUUGUGAUUUAUAAAAGCCGCUUAAAACAAAACUA
This 1593-nucleotide unclassified non-coding RNA is filed under the name Diabrotica virgifera virgifera (western corn rootworm). RNAcentral's name for it is "uncharacterized LOC126882799". Lineage: Eukaryota; Metazoa; Arthropoda; Insecta; Coleoptera; Chrysomelidae. The record is from RNAcentral.